RNAcentral lists this ribosomal RNA (1177 nucleotides) under human gut metagenome. RNAcentral describes it as "bacterial LSU rRNA". It matches the Rfam family "Bacterial large subunit ribosomal RNA", at positions 960 to 2117 of the family's 2925-position model. The record is from RNAcentral.
AUACCGAAGAAUGUUAUCACGGGAGACACACGGCGGGUGCUAACGUCCGUCGUGAAGAGGGAAACAACCCAGACCGCCAGCUAAGGUCCCAAAGUCAUGGUUAAGUGGGAAACGAUGUGGGAAGGCCCAGACAGCCAGGAUGUUGGCUUAGAAGCAGCCAUCAUUUAAAGAAAGCGUAAUAGCUCACUGGUCGAGUCGGCCUGCGCGGAAGAUGUAACGGGGCUAAACCAUGCACCGAAGCUGCGGCAGCGACACUAUGUGUUGUUGGGUAGGGGAGCGUUCUGUAAGCCGUUGAAGGUGGCCUGUGAGGGUUGCUGGAGGUAUCAGAAGUGCGAAUGCUGACAUAAGUAACGAUAAAGCGGGUGAAAAGCCCGCUCGCCGGAAGACCAAGGGUUCCUGUCCAACGUUAAUCGGGGCAGGGUGAGUCGACCCCUAAGGCGAGGCCGAAAGGCGUAGUCGAUGGGAAACAGGUUAAUAUUCCUGUACUUGGUGUUACUGCGAAGGGGGGACGGAGAAGGCUAUGUUGGCCGGGCGACGGUUGUCCCGGUUUAAGCAUGUAGGCGGAGGUUCCAGGUAAAUCCGGUACCUUGUUAACGCUGAGGUGUGAUGACGAGGCACUACGGUGCUGAAGUGAUAAAUGCCCUGCUUCCAGGAAAAGCCUCUAAGCAUCAGGUAACACGAAAUCGUACCCCAAACCGACACAGGUGGUCAGGUAGAGAAUACCAAGGCGCUUGAGAGAACUCGGGUGAAGGAACUAGGCAAAAUGGUGCCGUAACUUCGGGAGAAGGCACGCUGAUGGUAAGUGAAGUGACUUGCUCAUGGAGCUGAAAUCAGUCGAAGAUACCAGCUGGCUGCAACUGUUUAUUAAAAACACAGCACUGUGCAAACACGAAAGUGGACGUAUACGGUGUGACGCCUGCCCGGUGCCGGAAGGUUAAUUGAUGGGGUUAUCCGUAAGGAGAAGCUCUUGAUCGAAGCCCCGGUAAACGGCGGCCGUAACUAUAACGGUCCUAAGGUAGCGAAAUUCCUUGUCGGGUAAGUUCCGACCUGCACGAAUGGCGUAAUGAUGGCCAGGCUGUCUCCACCCGAGACUCAGUGAAAUUGAACUCGCUGUGAAGAUGCAGUGUACCCGCGGCAAGACGGAAAGACCCCGUGAACCUUUACUAUAGCUUGACAC